GUAUCCUACCACUAUAGAUAUAUAAAUCAUCAAGGGCUUUUUGCAAAGUAACAUUUUAUGGAUUGCUGAGUGUACUUUUAACAACCAAUUCAACACAAACACUUUUGCCUCAAUAGCAAACUAAUCAAAGUAGUGUUUAUUUCAAACUUGUCUUGGAUCAAAGAUUCUCAUCGGUCCUAUUUAUACCUGUUGCAGAGUGUUCCAUGAGUGAGGUGCAGUCUUUGGCCGUUUCCAAGGUGUGCGGGUGAAGAAACAGUGAAAGAACUCAUCAUGCAGAAGCGCCUUGCAACCAAAAUGUACAGCAACACUCUGAGGGAGAAUACACAGAGUUGACCUCCCUUCUUCAAGGGCAUAAGAGGACUGUGGACUUCAGCUUGAUAACCGAUUCACCUGCUAAAAGACUUGCUACUGCAAAGGAAUCCUGGUAAUUGUAUGCUUUUGGUUAUAACGUUAUUUAAGUGAGUCCCUCUAACUUUUCCCACGUUCUUUGUGUUCAGGCUAGGAUUGGUUUCAUAGACCCAGGUUAAUAAAUCCAGGGAUAUUCCUCUGGUUUAGCUAAUGAAGAACUAGUGAAAACCACAAACUCUCAUGCAGUUCACGUUGUUAUAGCUACAAACUAUAUUGUGUGAUAUGACAGACCACUUCAAUCCGUAGCCCAAUUCCAUUUCUCCUUUCUGUGUAGUCUGAUGUCACUUCACUUGCUCAGUUCCCUCCGGGUAAACCCCAGUGAGACUCAGAGUUACCGCCUCCACCCUGAGGGCUAUUCCAGAACUCAAAAUUAGGAAUACAGUUUGGCAAUGUUAUCAUCAUAUAGAUUAUUAGGUUUCGCAUGUGUGUCUCAUAUAAACGCUGCUGUUUUGGAGUGAACUGAGGGAGUGGAAGGAACCCAACUACAAAUAUCUUUCUUCCUUAUUGUUUACCUUUCAUCGAGGAAAUGUAGUUAGCAGCAAUCCCAAUCAGCAGUUGAAACAAUAACAAAGCGUUCUCGUUCUAAACCUCUGAGGAUUGCACAGGAGAAAUGUAACCACUCUCAAAUGUAUAGACUGAGCUAUGGAUGUAAGGA
This is a non-coding RNA of Salvelinus sp. IW2-2015, 1063 nucleotides long. Lineage: Eukaryota; Metazoa; Chordata; Actinopteri; Salmoniformes; Salmonidae. The record is from RefSeq and is a predicted model, not a curated record.